RNAcentral lists this ribosomal RNA (245 nucleotides) under uncultured Bacteroidales bacterium. RNAcentral describes it as "partial 16S ribosomal RNA". It matches the Rfam family "Bacterial small subunit ribosomal RNA", at positions 524 to 768 of the family's 1533-position model. The record is from RNAcentral. Lineage: Bacteria; Pseudomonadati; Bacteroidota; Bacteroidia; Bacteroidales.
UACGGAGGAUGCAAGCGUUAUCCGGAUUUAUUGGGUUUAAAGGGUGCGUAGGCGGCUUAUUAAGCGUGAGGUGAAAUCCCGGAGCUCAACCCCGGCACUGCCUCGCGAACUGGUGAGCUGGAAUGCUCCUGCCGUGGGAGGAAUGUGUGGUGUAGCGGUGAAAUGCAUAGAGAUCACACAGAACACCGAUUGCGAAGGCAUCUCACGAAGGGGCGAUUGACGCUGAGGCACGAAAGCGUGGGGAU